RNAcentral lists this ribosomal RNA (497 nucleotides) under uncultured bacterium. RNAcentral describes it as "partial 16S ribosomal RNA". It matches the Rfam family "Bacterial small subunit ribosomal RNA", at positions 28 to 507 of the family's 1533-position model. The record is from RNAcentral.
GAUGAACGCUGGCGGCGUGCCUAAUACAUGCAAGUCGAGCGAACGGACGAGAAGCUUGCUUCUCUGAUGUUAGCGGCGGACGGGUGAGUAACACGUGGAUAACCUACCUAUAAGACUGGGAUAACUUCGGGAAACCGGAGCUAAUACCGUAUAAUAUUUUGAACCGCAUGGUUCAAAAGUGAAAGACGGUCUUGCUGUCACUUAUAGAUGGAUCCGCGCUGCAUUAGCUAGUUGGUAAGGUAACGGCUUACCAAGGCAACGAUGCAUAGCCGACCUGAGAGGGUGAUCGGCCACACUGGAACUGAGACAGGGUCCAGACUCCUACGGGAGGCAGCAGUAGGGAAUCUUCCGCAAUGGGCGAAAGCCUGACGGAGCAACGCCGCGUGAGUGAUGAAGGUCUUCGGAUCGUAAAACUCUGUUAUUAGGGAAGAACAUAUGUGGAAGUAACUGUGCACAUCUUGACGGUACCUAAUCAGAAAGCCACGGCUAACUACGUG